AGUGAACGCUGGCGGCAUGCCUAACACGUGCAAGUCGAACGGUAACAGGCCCGCAAGGGUGCUGACGAGUGGCGGACGGGUGAGGAAUACAUCGGAAUUUGCCCAGUCGUGGGGGAUAACGUAGGGAAACUUAACGCUAAUACCGCAUACGACCUAACGGUGAAAGCGGGGACCGUGCAAGGGCCUCGCGCGGAUGGAUAAGCCGAUGUCGGAUUAGCUAGUUGGCGGGGUAAGAGCCACCAAGGCGACGAUCCGUAGCUGGUCUGAGAGGAUGAUCAGCCACACUGGGACUGAGACACGGCCCAGACUCCUACGGGAGGCAGCAGUGGGGAAUAUUGGACAAUGGGGCAACCUGAUCCAGCAAUGCCGCGUGUGUGAAGAAGGCCU
RNAcentral lists this ribosomal RNA (387 nucleotides) under uncultured bacterium. RNAcentral's name for it is "bacterial SSU rRNA". It matches the Rfam family "Bacterial small subunit ribosomal RNA", at positions 29 to 417 of the family's 1533-position model. The record is from RNAcentral.